RNAcentral lists this ribosomal RNA (601 nucleotides) under uncultured archaeon 71A. RNAcentral describes it as "bacterial SSU rRNA". It matches the Rfam family "Archaeal small subunit ribosomal RNA", at positions 183 to 786 of the family's 1478-position model. The record is from RNAcentral.
UGGCUCAAAGUCAGGCGCUCUAGGAUUGGUCUGCGGCCUAUCAGGUAGUAGUGGGUGUAACGGACCCACUAGCCGAUGACGGGUAUGGGCCUUGAGAGAGGGAGCCCAGAGAUGGAUUCUGAGACACGAAUCCAGGCCCUACGGGGCGCAGCAGUCGCGAAAACUUCACAAUGGAGGCAACUCCGAUGAGGGAAUUCCUAGUGCCAAUGCAUUUUGUGUUGGCUUUUCUUCAGCGUAGAUAACUGAUGGAAUAAGGGCUGGGUAAGACGGGUGCCAGCCGCCGCGGUAAUACCCGCAGCCCAAGUGGUGGUCGAUAUUAUUGAGUCUAAAACGUUCGUAGCCGGUUCAAUAAAUCUCUGGGUAAAUCGGAGGGCUCAACCUUCCGAAUUCCGGAGCGACUGUUGAACUUGGGACCGGGAGAGGCAAGAGGUACUUCUGGGGUAGGGGUAAAAUCCUGUAAUCCUAGAAGGACCACCGGUGGCGAAGGCGUCUUGCUAGAACGGAUCCGACGGUGAGGGACGAAGCCCUGGGUCGCAAACGGGAUUAGAUACCCCGGUAGUCCAGGGUGUAAACGCUGCAGACUUGGUGUUGGGAACCCUUC